RNAcentral lists this ribosomal RNA (1372 nucleotides) under uncultured bacterium. Its description in RNAcentral is "bacterial SSU rRNA". It matches the Rfam family "Bacterial small subunit ribosomal RNA", at positions 28 to 1381 of the family's 1533-position model. The record is from RNAcentral.
GAUGAACGCUGGCGGCGUGCCUAAUACAUGCAAGUCGAGCGAACGGACGAGAAGCUUGCUUCUCUGAUGUUAGCGGCGGACGGGUGAGUAACACGUGGAUAACCUACCUAUAAGACUGGGAUAACUUCGGGAAACCGGAGCUAAUACCGGAUAAUAUUUUGAACCGCAUGGUUCAAAAGUGAAAGACGGUCUUGCUGUCACUUAUAGAUGGAUCCGCGCUGCAUUAGCUAGUUGGUAAGGUAACGGCUUACCAAGGCAACGAUGCAUAGCCGACCUGAGAGGGUGAUCGGCCACACUGGAACUGAGACACGGUCCAGACUCCUACGGGAGGCAGCAGUAGGGAAUCUUCCGCAAUGGGCGAAAGCCUGACGGAGCAACGCCGCGUGAGUGAUGAAGGUCUUCGGAUCGUAAAACUCUGUUAUUAGGGAAGAACAUAUGUGUAAGUAACUGUGCACAUCUUGACGGUACCUAAUCAGAAAGCCACGGCUAACUACGUGCCAGCAGCCGCGGUAAUACGUAGGUGGCAAGCGUUAUCCGGAAUUAUUGGGCGUAAAGCGCGCGUAGGCGGUUUUUUAAGUCUGAUGUGAAAGCCCACGGCUCAACCGUGGAGGGUCAUUGGAAACUGGAAAACUUGAGUGCAGAAGAGGAGAGUGGAAUUCCAUGUGUAGCGGUGAAAUGCGCAGAGAUAUGGAGGAACACCAGUGGCGAAGGCGACUUUCUGGUCUGUAACUGACGCUGAUGUGCGAAAGCGUGGGGAUCAAACAGGAUUAGAUACCCUGGUAGUCCACGCCGUAAACGAUGAGUGCUAAGUGUUAGGGGGUUUCCGCCCCUUAGUGCUGCAGCUAACGCAUUAAGCACUCCGCCUGGGGAGUACGACCGCAAGGUUGAAACUCAAAGGAAUUGACGGGGACCCGCACAAGCGGUGGAGCAUGUGGUUUAAUUCGAAGCAACGCGAAGAACCUUACCAAAUCUUGACAUCCUUUGACAACUCUAGAGAUAGAGCCUUCCCCUUCGGGGGACAAAGUGACAGGUGGUGCAUGGUUGUCGUCAGCUCGUGUCGUGAGAUGUUGGGUUAAGUCCCGCAACGAGCGCAACCCUUAAGCUUAGUUGCCAUCAUUAAGUUGGGCACUCUAAGUUGACUGCCGGUGACAAACCGGAGGAAGGUGGGGAUGACGUCAAAUCAUCAUGCCCCUUAUGAUUUGGGCUACACACGUGCUACAAUGGACAAUACAAAGGGCAGCGAAACCGCGAGGUCAAGCAAAUCCCAUAAAGUUGUUCUCAGUUCGGAUUGUAGUCUGCAACUCGACUACAUGAAGCUGGAAUCGCUAGUAAUCGUAGAUCAGCCUGCUACGGUGAAUACGUUCCCGGGUCU